GCCACGCCCCCUAACAGACCGCGCCCCUCUUUUGGUCCCUGCCCACCUAUUGGAUGAGGCACCUUCCAUAAGCCCCGCCCACCGAGCAGGCCACGCCCCCUUUCAUUGCCCUCUAGCCAAUCAGAAAGGCGCAUUCAUGGCCACGCCCCCUCGAUCUGGCCACGCCCCUUUUCUAAGCACCGCCCUGCAAUCAUUUGAAGCCCUUUUCUAAGCCCCGCCCACCAAGCAGGCCACGCCCCCUUUCAGGCCAUCCAACCAAUCAGGUCUCGACCCCUUUACGCCACUCCCCUUCCGUAGCCACGCCCACUUUCCGGCUUCAUUUGGCCACGCCCCCUUUAAGCCACGCCCCCCUUAAAAGCCACGCCCUCAAUCAGACCACGCCCCCAUUUUAGACCCCGUCCACCAAUCGGUUGAGGCCAUUUCUCUAAGCCCCGCCCACCAACAAGGCCACGCCCACCUACGGCCAUCUGACCAAUCAGUGGGCGGGGCUUCGCGGCGGGGCGGGGCUUCCGAAGAACGGGGCGUGGUCUCCAUCGAAACGCACGUGGUCGCGGGUCACGUGGUCCAGCCCGGAUUGCGGGAGCUCUCGGCAGGAAGGGGCGUGGUCUCGACCGGAAGUGGCCUGCUCUCCACCGGAAGUGACGCAUCCUUUCCCCCGGCCCCGCCCCUUGUUGACCACCGCGUACGUCGCGUCCAUGGCGGGAGGCGGGGGGAGGGGCGGAGCGGGAACGGAAGUGCUCCUGAAAUGGGUGGGAGGGAGUUCCGGUUGCGGUGGGGAGCGACUUCCGGUUGGUGGUGGGUGGGGGGCGUGCGACUUCCGGUUGAGUGGAGUGGAAUGAAGGACUUCCCGGUGAUGUUUGAAAGGAAGGGGUGCGGGACUUCCGGUUCUGCUGGGAGACGACUUCCGGUUGUGAAGGGACGGGACUUCCGGUUGGGUGGGAGAGAAGGGCGGGGAAGGA
Molecule: long non-coding RNA, 959 nt
Filed under: Phasianus colchicus (ring-necked pheasant)
Lineage: Eukaryota; Metazoa; Chordata; Aves; Galliformes; Phasianidae
Description: lncRNA (ENSPCLG00000014457.1)
Source: RNAcentral